RNAcentral lists this ribosomal RNA (253 nucleotides) under uncultured bacterium. RNAcentral's name for it is "partial 16S ribosomal RNA". It matches the Rfam family "Bacterial small subunit ribosomal RNA", at positions 524 to 776 of the family's 1533-position model. The record is from RNAcentral.
GACGAAGGUGGCGACCGUUGUUCGGAAUUACUGGGCAUAAAGCGCACGUAGGCGGCAAUGUAAGUCAGGUGUGAAAGCCCCCGGCCCAACCGGGGAAUUGCGCUUGAUACUGUGUUGCUUGAGGGCAGGAGGGGACCGUGGAAUUCCUGGUGGAGCGGUGAAAUGCGUUGAUAUCAGGAGGAACACCGGCGGCGAAGGCGACGGUCUGGCCUGCUUCUGACGCUGAGGUGCGAAAGCCAGGGGAGCAAACGGG